GGAAGGAUCAUUAUCGAAUAAACUUGUGUAGGUUGUUGCUGGCCUUUUCGGAGGCAUGUGCACGCUUGCCAUUGUUUCAUUCCCCCUUCCACCUGUGCACAUCCUGUAGACCAGGCUGUCAYCCCCUUCAGUGGUGCUUGCACCUCUGGCAUGAGGACUUGCUCUGGCUGUCCUUGGAUGGUCUGGUCUAUGUCUUAUCAACUCUCAUUGUAUGGUAUUGAACGUCAGCCUGGGUUCUAUACAACCCAUAAAAUCCUAUACAACUUUCAACAACGGAUCUCUUGGCUCUCGCAUCGAUGAAGAACGCAGCGAAAUGCGAUAAGUAAUGUGAAUUGCAGAAUUCAGUGAAUCAUCGAAUCUUUGAACGCACCUUGCGCUCCUUGGUAUUCCGAGGAGCAUGCCUGUUUGAGUGUCAUUAAAUCCUCAAUCUCACCGUUCUUAACGAACGAUGGGGUUGGAUGUGGAAGCUGCUGGCUCGCUGGGUCAGCUCUUCUGAAAUGUAUUAGCAAGGGCCACUGUUUGUAGGCUACAGCUUGGUAUUGAUAGAUGUCUUACCAUGUUGGCAGCGAACCUACAGGUGCUCAGCUCCUAGUCGUCUCAGCGAGACAACGACCUGACGAUU
Molecule: ribosomal RNA, 622 nt
Filed under: Pluteus stenotrichus
Lineage: Eukaryota; Fungi; Basidiomycota; Agaricomycetes; Agaricales; Pluteaceae
Description: eukaryotic LSU rRNA
Rfam family: 5.8S ribosomal RNA (bases 262-415)
Source: RNAcentral